Molecule: ribosomal RNA, 482 nt
Filed under: uncultured bacterium
Lineage: Bacteria
Description: partial 16S ribosomal RNA
Rfam family: Bacterial small subunit ribosomal RNA
Source: RNAcentral
GACGAACGCUGGAGGCGUGCUUAACACAUGCAAGUCGAACGAUGAAAUGGAGCUUGCUCCAUGGAUUAGUGGCGAACGGGUGAGUAACACGUGAAUAACCUGCCCUUAAUUUUGGAAUAACCCAGGGAAACCUGGGCUAAUACCGGAUAAGUAAACCUGUGGCAUCACAUGGUUUUGGAAAGUUUUUCGAUUAAGGAUGGAUUCGCGGCCUAUCAGCUUGUUGGUGAGGUAAUGGCUCACCAAGGCGACGACGUGUAGCCGGCCUGAGAGGGUGAACGGCCACACUGGGACUGAGACACGGCCCAGACUCCUACGGGAGGCAGCAGUGGGGAAUAUUGCGCAAUGGACGAAAGUCUGACGCAGCGACGCCUCGUGAGGGACGAAGGUCUUCGGAUUGUAAACCUCUUUCAGCAGGGACGAAGCGAAAGUGACGGUACCUGCAGAAAAAGCACCGGCUAACUACGUGCCAGCCGCCGCCGUAA